This 408-nucleotide ribosomal RNA is filed under the name uncultured bacterium. RNAcentral describes it as "bacterial SSU rRNA". It matches the Rfam family "Bacterial small subunit ribosomal RNA", at positions 356 to 773 of the family's 1533-position model. The record is from RNAcentral.
GGGGAAUUUUGCGCAAUGGGGGGAACCCUGACGCAGCGACGCCGCGUGAGCGAUGAAGGUCUUCGGAUCGUAAAGCUCUGUCCUUGGGGAAGAAGGCGAAAGCUUGACGGUACCCAAGAAGAAAGCCCCGGCUAACUACGUGCCAGCAGCCGCGGUAAUACGUAGGGGGCGAGCGUUGUCCGGAAUUACUGGGCGUAAAGGGUGCGUAGGCGGCCCUUUAAGUCGGAUGUGAAAGCCCGCGGCUUAACCGCGGAAUGGCAUUCGAAACUGGAGGGCUUGAGUGUCGGAGAGGGUAGUGGAAUUCCCAGUGUAGCGGUGAAAUGCGUAGAUAUUGGGAGGAACACCAGUGGCGAAGGCGACUACCUGGACGAUAACUGACGCUGAGGCACGAAAGCUAGGGGAGCAAAC